Molecule: non-coding RNA, 195 nt
Filed under: Lederbergia galactosidilytica
Lineage: Bacteria; Bacillati; Bacillota; Bacilli; Caryophanales; Bacillaceae
Also listed under: 1 other name
Source: RNAcentral
UUAAGCUUCAGCGCCAUAGGCGGGCGGCUUCUGCUUUUCUUGUUUUCGACUUAAUAGGGAAGUUGGUGUCAUUCCAACGCGGUCCCGCCACUGUAAAUGGGAGCUGCUACAAAAUCCACUGUGCAUAUGUUGCAUGGGAAGGGGUAGCAAGUGAUGAUCAUAAGCCAGGAGACCUGCCGGUGCUAUCGUUAAUCA